RNAcentral lists this ribosomal RNA (429 nucleotides) under Actinomycetes bacterium. RNAcentral's name for it is "Actinobacteria bacterium partial 16S ribosomal RNA". It matches the Rfam family "Bacterial small subunit ribosomal RNA", at positions 355 to 776 of the family's 1533-position model. Lineage: Bacteria; Bacillati; Actinomycetota; Actinomycetes. The record is from RNAcentral.
UAGGGAAUCUUCCGCAAUGGGCUAAAGCCUGACGGAGCAACGCCGCGUGAGUGAUGAAGGUCUUCGGAUCGUAAAACUCUGUUAUUAGGGAAGAACAAAUGUGUAAGUAACUAUGCACGUCUUGACGGUACCUAAUCAGAAAGCCACGGCUAACUACGUGCCAGCAGCCGCGGUAAUACGUAGGUGGCAAGCGUUAUCCGGAAUUAUUGGGCGUAAAGCGCGCGUAGGCGGUUUUUUAAGUCUGAUGUGAAAGCCCACGGCGCAACCGGGGAGGGUAAUUGGAAACUGGAAAACUUGAGUGCAGAAGAGGAAAGUGGAAUUCCAUGUGUAGCGGUGAAAUGCGCAGAGAUAUGGAGGAACACCAGUGGAGAAGGCGACUUUCUGGUCUGUAACUGACGCUGAUGUGCGAAAGCGUGGGGAUCAAACAGG